CACAGACAGCACUAUGAAAAUCAUUUUGUUAUGGGGAGUUACAUGUUUGUAGACUGUUAUGUUUUUUUUUUAUAUAUUCAGCUUUAUGCUUCUUUUUUAACAUAAACAUCAAUAGAUUUUAGGAAAUAUGCCUUCACUUCUUGCCUUUCAAGGAAUUUAUGUGUAUAUACUUCCUCCAUUUUCUGUCACAAAGAUUCCUGAAGAUUGAAGGGAGACAGCAACAGGCAUUUUAUUUCUCCAUCUCAUUACGUAUUUAUAUAACCAGAGUGAAAUCUGUUUUCUGUUAGAAGAAAGAGGAGGGCAGUGAGGCUGGAUUUUUUUUAUUUUUUUUAUUUUUUUUUGUUAACAGACCCAAAAGUUGUCUGGAAACUGUGCCAAAACAAUAGCAUAAAAAGAAGGCAUCUGGAAGUCAUUAGGGAAGCACGGAGUGGGCAGUGAUUAAAGCAGGAUGGAAUUUCUGCUGCUUUUUUUUUUUUUUUUUUCUCUCACAGUUUCAAAGCCAAUCAGACACAACUUUAAACCAAUCAAACAAAACUUCGGACUCUUAUGAAUAUUCAAGAAAGAAAAUUCUUGCCACCUCAUACCCCUCCUGAAGGCAACUUCAAUUAUCUCCUCUGUCACACAUCCUUAUACAUUUCCCUGCAUUAUUUGGGAGAGUUUGCAUGCUUUUACUUUUGCUUUGCUUCUUUUUCCUCUUAUUUUUUUUUCAUAGUAAUCACUGGAAAAUUCUAGCUCCUCUCUUACCUUAAGAAACAACAGCUGGAACGUUAUAUUGGUACUGUAAGAUACAGUGUUAUAAUUUGGUAUUGAAGCUGAGGAGUAUUACAAGAAUUGAGUAAGAGAUGCACAUGCAUCUAUCUUUCUGCAGCUACUUCCACUGAUAAAUUUGUUUGUCUAUGGGUAGCCAUUUUCCUCCUGCAGCCAUCAGUGCUGUAGGUUAGGCUGCUAGUCUCCUCCCAGUAGCUCCUGCCAAUUUAUGCUUGGAGUUGUAGUGAUUACUGCCACCUCAGUGAUGCCAGGGUCCUCCUUUCCUAACUACCUCCAACCCAGGCAAGGUUGGAUGGGGCUCUGGGCAAUCUGAUCUAGUACUUGAUCAAGUGGCUGGCAACCCCUCCUGUGGCAAGGGGGUUGGAACUUGAUGAUCCUUGAGGUCCCUUCCAAUCUUAGUCAUUCUAUGAUUCUGUGAUUCAUAGGACGUCCUUCUUCAUACAUCUGGUGAUGCAAAAGUCUGAAAACCCGAUCAUUUACCAUUCUGCUGAAGUCUGUUUUUUUUUCUCAUUCCAUUUUUAACUCUGUAGUAUGAAAUCUAUUCUACUAUAAAGUCAGAAUCAGCUGCAGUCAAAAAUCUGAGAAUGAAUUUUUCUCAACUGACAUAAAAGAUAAAUGGCAUCAUACAAAAACAACCAUUGGUAGCAUUUCAUCUUCACCAUAAACAUGUCAUUUUCUGAAUUAAUGGACACUGUUCCCGAUACCUGCAAAGACCAUGAAGAUAUUGAAACUUCUCACUUUACAUUUUCAUGCCUGCUUAUACUGCAUUUGUACAGCAUUCCACUGCUAGGAUGCUACGCUUGCAAGUUUGUGAUGCUCCAUUUUCUUUCUCUGUAAAAUGAGAGGUAUUACUUGUGUGCUAUUCCAAGUGUUCUUGCACCUAAAAGAUGAAAAACAGUGCUAAUUUGGAAGGACCAUUAUACUGACAGGUGUCAGUAGUGACUGCAUUCUGCUGCUGGACUGAAGGAUUUGACUUUUUCCUUGGACACACCCAGAAAUGUUUGCAGAUCUUUAAUCAUGAGCAAACAGAUGCAGGUUUACCUGCACAGCUGAAACUUACCUGAUUGUACCCAGCAUAGUUUUAUGGUUCUUGCGGUUCUUAUUCUAAAAUUCAUUUUCCUGUGCCCUCUAGCAUCAUAAAGUCAUGUAGUGGAAAAAUAAAGUUAAGGAGAUUAUGUGCUCAUGUUCCGUUUCUGCCAUUUCACCUGGCAGGAGCCCUAGAGAGUGAAGAAGUGGAUGCAGCUUUGGCCAUCAGUGAGGACAGCAGCUUGUGCCUUACUCCAUGGCUACCACAGCCCAUGUGAGCAUACAGAGCUCUCAGUUUUGUUCAGAAGCUGCAAUGGGGCCAACAGAUCAACUGUCAAACUAUUGCUUCCUCCUGCAAGCACCAUUAAAAAUGGAUCAUCUGGAGCUAAGAUGAUUUUCUUUGAGGCCAGGUGCAGAUGUAAUGAAAGAAUAAAUGCAGCCUACAAUAGCACUGGGAAAAGAGCUUUUGAGAAUCUUUUUUCUGUUGUGUUCUCCUCACAAAGGACACAAAACAAGUGAAAGAAGCCGAACUGGAAGAGGUGUGAAAGGUGAAACAAUAUGAGAGUCCUGAAAAGAUGGGAGGAAACUUUGACCACAUAGGACUGACUCCAGAUGCUCUUCCACACGCAUAAUAAUGGACUGCUCUCUUCCAUGAGUAACACAAUUGCAAUCAGUAAAGAUACUCAAAUGAGUAAAACAUGAAACAUUAAGCUCACAGGCGGAGAUGAGGUUGAUCUGUCAGUAGGGGCAGCAACGUGGGUGCUAGGUCUCUAUUUCAGGUAAAUGAAUGGUAGUCAGAUCUGCAGCAAAUUAUGGAUGCAAGAAAAAAUCUUUGUGUGACUAAAAAUGUGGAUCUGGAAUGGUGGAACCAAGAGGCUUCAUGAAAUGUGCAAGGCAAGAUGAACAUCAGCAUGCUGUGAUACUCUAUUCUGUAGAAAACACUGAGGAAUUGGGAACAGGAGAAAUUCAUUCCACACAAAAUCCUGGAGCAUUAUAAUACAGUGAUCACGAUAUAGGCAAGGAAAAGUCAGACUUGUUGUCAGCUCAUUCAUGCAUUCUGUGGAGUGCAUGAUUUAUGUUUACUGUCACUGCUGUGUACUUUUGUUUACCCAUGAGACACACAAAACAAACUUGGGACUGCAGCUGGAAAACAUUGCCGGAGGUACCUCUCCCAUGACAAAGAUCAUCGUGUGCAAACGGACAUUAAUUGUCAUUAUUCUGAUCAGAAUAAGUUAUCCAAAGAAUGAUUAGGAAUAUCUGGUUUCAAUUCUUUGAUAAAAUCUCCAAGAGCAGCAGUGAGCAUCAGCCCUGGAAUACAGUGGACAAAACUGCUAGGUUUUCCAGAUAUUGAAACAGGAGAACUUUCAGCCUGAGGUGGAUGUAAGGUCCUGGAAAAAACCAUAAGCCUUUCCCAGUUAGUUGCUGAUGUACCGGGAAUGCUCUUGAGGAUUGCUUUAUUCCGCAUUCCUUUUCCACUUCUUCCUCUCAUCUGACAUCUCUUUUGUUGCCCGUACAGGUGGAAUUCUCUGUGAAAUUCAUGUAUUUCUGUCAGCAUACCCAAAGGAGGCAGAGCAAACAAUAAAUAUAAAUGAUAGGCCCAGAAAGAUCAUUAACGUAAUACCCAUUUAUUCCCUAAUUCUUAGCGCUUUGACCUUUCCCUAAGGAAAUGGAAUACAUUCUGAGUAAGUAAAAAAAAACAUCUUGCAAACAGCUUCAUGUGAAGUCCCUUCCUGAUAUCAUCCCAACCUUUAUAAUCAGAUAUUGGUAAUCUUAUAAGCAAGUGAUUACAUGGAUUCCUUACAUUUGAAAGGAGUCACCCGGUUUUUCAGAGAUGUGUAAACUGCAAGCCAGUGUUGGCAGCCAUUCAUCUUUCAUUCUGUCACAGGGAACAAGAAAUAAAGAAGGGACUUUCUUGAGCAAAACGUCCAGCUUAAUGAAUAUAAUUUCCUUUUAUGACAAAGUUACCCAAAGGGAAGCCACUUGAUGUAAUCUUUUUCAAUUUCAGCAAAGCUCUCACAGUAUCCUUCCGCACAAAAUGUCCAGCACAUCUUGGCAAAAGCGUAAUGCGAUGGGUGAACAACUGGCUGACAAGGGUUAUAGAAAAUGGUACUACAUUUCUGUGUUUCAGUGGAGACAACAGGAACCUUCAAGGAGUCUUUGCUGAGACUAACUUUACUUAUCAGAGUAGGCAUUGAUGGGAAAGCUAUAUAAAUUAUUUUUUAAAAUAAUAUAUCUGAUAAGCUAUAACCUGGGUUUAACCAUGGGUUCUUUAAUGAAAUUUUGAGAGCUUUUUUUGUCCAAAAAAUCAGCCACUUAAUGCAAAGGAGGUGUACAAACAUAAAAAACAACAGAAACAUUAUGGGAGCUCCCCACAGUUGACCUUGAUGGAGUCAUCAGAGGAGCAUACAUCUGCAACCAGUGCUGGACCAAAGGAACAACUGAAAGUCAGACAGAACUGACAGAGAUGCCUCAGCAGGAAUGUGAGAACAGAUGUGCACACCAGUCCUUUUCCUGCUACAAAGAGCUAGCAGCUUAGGGCUUGCAGACCUCUGGAUUUCAAUCACAUGUCAAGUUCAACAGUCACCAGUGGAACUAUAUUCCUGACAAAUCUCUCUCUUUCCCCCUCAGGGCCCUGUACAUGUGCAUUCAUUCAGAUUUUUUUUUUUCUGUGAACUCCCAGUGCAGCAUAAUCCUUUCACACCCCUAGGGGCAUCUGUUUGUUUGAAACAAAACACCACCAGAGCCUGGUUUUUACUGUGGACUUCAGCACCUACUCUGAGGAAUAGUGUUCAACAGCUUGUAAGAGAAGGCCUCAUUUCUAAUAAGUUGUUUUCCCUACGGCUAUGUUCUCUCUUGAACUUUGAAGGAAGCCUUUCAUUUAGUUUCAAGUUAUACCUUCCUGCCUUGAUAAUAAAUACGCUUUGCUCUUUUGGAGAGGACCUGAUGUUGUUCUCACUAUACAAUACAUAUAAAAGAUGCCUUGGGAUAGUCUUGCUGGCCAAAACAAAAGGGAUGCCUCGUUCAGUGCACUGCAAAUGAGCAUGGCUAUGUGCUGAUUUUGGCUCGCUCAUUUCCUAUUCCACCCUAGCAUUUGUAAAUUAAACUCCUAUUUUCGGAUUUCCAUAGAUUGUUCCAAAGUUUAUGUGAUUCCUUUAAUUAUGGCAUGGAGUAGGGGCAACUGCAUUCCAAGAAACCAAUAAUUACCUGGAACAUGUUAUUACAGUGAGACGUGUGUAGAUCUGUAGCAUCUGUGAAACUCCAUGCAACAUAACUGAAGAAACGGCUGAAAAUGGAUCUGACACAGUUGCAAUAAAGAAGUCUCAAAAAACUACUGUCUUCUUUCAGUACCAUAAUUUGUGUCACAGAAUUACAGCUCAAGUGGAACUGCCAUUUGAACUGCCACUGGAACUGCCAUUUGAACAAAUCUCACUUUUUAGUGGUGAAAAAUAACCUGAAUCCAAUCAGAAUUGUUUUUUUCUAUUAAUGCAUGUAUCCUUGGCAGUGCUAUUGCUGACAAAAAGUCUGUUCUUUUUUCAGCAGAGAUAAUGCAAAAAACAAAUGAAAAACAAAAAACAGAAACAAAACAAAACAACCUGACAGCUCAGUGCAAGGCUUAGUUUCCAUUUCAGGGUCAUGUGGAGGGGGUGUUCUUCAGAUGUUCCUGAAAUAAAUGUCUAUUACACUAUAAUUUAUGUUAUGUUAUGUUUAUUAGGUCCUCCGUAAAGUUUUCUUCAUAAAAGGCUGCAUAGCAAGCCUCCAAUUCUUAAGGAAUUAGAAUGGAAAUGUCACUCUCAUUUAAAAUUUAGAAGAGUAAAAACACUGAAAAAACAGAGAGAAAGAAACAUCAAAUUUAUCCUGAGUUUACCCCAUUGUAGCUAAUUAGCACAAGAGUUUUUAGGGACAUUCCCAUUUCAUGCAAGACCGCCCAUGAUCCCUUAGCAGUCAGGCAUUUAUUGUAUAGCUGUGAAACCUGUGUAAAUCUUUAUAUUUUAAUCUACAGCAAAGCUUUAAGUUUUAAUCUGCAGCUUUCCCACUGUUAAUUUUACUCAGGGUCAUUCUUAAUGGUCAUAGUUCCUAAGAUUAAGAAAAUAGCUGACAUCUUCACACCAACAAAGCAAUGUGGUUGUUAAUUCUCCA
This 5931-nucleotide long non-coding RNA is filed under the name Gallus gallus (chicken). The record is from RNAcentral. Lineage: Eukaryota; Metazoa; Chordata; Aves; Galliformes; Phasianidae.